This is a long non-coding RNA of Apis cerana (Asiatic honeybee), 691 nucleotides long. RefSeq lists it as uncharacterized. The record is from RefSeq and is a predicted model, not a curated record. Lineage: Eukaryota; Metazoa; Arthropoda; Insecta; Hymenoptera; Apidae.
CUUUGCUACGUACAGCAAGUUUGGGAAAAUCUGCACUAGACGGCCGUAACGUAGUGAACUAUGAUAGUAAGACAGACAAAGAAGGUACCACUGUAGUUAAUAUAACAUUGUAAAUGUACGAACACUAAGUUAGAACUACAGUUUGCUGAUGAUUAGAUUAAAGGAACAAUACAAAUUGCUUACAUCAGUUGUCUUUUCCGAUUCAGAAACAGGAGUAAUAGGAAUAUCUGUAGAAUCCUGCAUUGAACUUGUUUUAUUCGUGUCCAUCAUUUCACUCAUUUUUUUAAUUACUAUCUGUGCUUGAAGAGCAUCCUGAAUAUAAACAUUUAAUAUUAAUAAGUAUAAAUAUUAUUUUGUAUUUGAAUUUUUAAAUAUAAAAAAAGCAUUAAAAUAAUUACUUGUUCCAGAGAUUUCAAACGUGCUUGUCUCCAUGCCGCACGUUUUUCUGCUCUUAACGCUCUCUGUUCGGCAGGACUUAAAUGACUUUCUUCAUCUUCAUCCGAAAUUAUACCCUACGCAAUAAAAUAUUAUAUAAAUAUAUAAUAUUAAAAAAUAUAAAUAUAUUCAUAUUCUGAUGAACUAUUUUAAAAUCAUGAUGUCAUUUAAAGAAAUUAUUAAAAUUUCAAAAAAAUUAUUUCAUCUAGAACAAUGUAAAACAUAUAAUAUAUUGAAACAUUUGAAUGAUUAAAAA